This 398-nucleotide ribosomal RNA is filed under the name Hospesneotomae protracta (western bloodsucking conenose). RNAcentral describes it as "eukaryotic LSU rRNA". It matches the Rfam family "Eukaryotic large subunit ribosomal RNA", at positions 653 to 980 of the family's 3401-position model. Lineage: Eukaryota; Metazoa; Arthropoda; Insecta; Hemiptera; Reduviidae. The record is from RNAcentral.
CUUGAAACACGGACCAAGGAGUUUAGCGUGUACGCAAGUCAUUGGGUGUAUAAAACCCAAAGGCGAAAUGAAAGUAAAGAGUAGAGAUUUGUAAAGAAGUUUACUUUUUUACAAUCUCCUCUUUAGGGAAGAUGGAAAUAUUAUACAGUAAUGUAUGAAAAUUUCCCGCAUUCCCAGGGCGCUUGUUUCUUGCUUUGCGAGUCGAUGCGCACCUAGAGCGUACACGCUGAUACCCGAAAGAUGGUGAACUAUGCCUGGCCAGGACGAAGCCAGGGGAAACCCUGGUGGAGGUCCGCAGCGAUUCUGACGUGCAAAUCGAUCGUCGGAGCUGGGUAUAGGGGCGAAAGACCAAUCGAACCAUCUAGUAGCUGGUUCCCUCUGAAGUUUCCCUCAGGAUA